This 141-nucleotide ribosomal RNA is filed under the name uncultured bacterium. Its description in RNAcentral is "partial 16S ribosomal RNA". It matches the Rfam family "Bacterial small subunit ribosomal RNA", at positions 354 to 509 of the family's 1533-position model. The record is from RNAcentral.
GUGGGGAAUAUUGCACAAGUCGGGGGGAAACCCUGAUGCAGCGACGCCGCGUGAGCGAAGAAGUAUUUCGGUAUGUAAAGCUCUAUCAGCAGGGAAGAAAAUGACGGUACCUGACUAAGAAGCCCCGGCUAACUACGUGCC